UACGAAGGGGGCUAGCGUUGCUCGGAAUCACUGGGCGUAAAGCGCACGUAGGCGGAUCUUUAAGUCAGGGGUGAAAUCCUGGAGCUCAACUCCAGAACUGCCUUUGAUACUGGGGAUCUCGAGUCCGGAAGAGGUGAGUGGAACUCCCGGUGUAGUGGUGAAAUGCGUAGAGAUCGGGAGGAACACCAGAGGCGAAAGCGGUUAACUGGGUCUAAACUGACGCUGAGGCGCGAAGGCUAGGGGAGCAAACAGG
Molecule: ribosomal RNA, 253 nt
Filed under: uncultured bacterium
Lineage: Bacteria
Description: partial 16S ribosomal RNA
Rfam family: Bacterial small subunit ribosomal RNA
Source: RNAcentral